AUAAUGAAUCACCAUCACCCAUUCAAACAAGCUGGAUCAUGCAAGAGUAUCACAUUUACAACUACCUUUUGAAUAACACUCAUCAUGCUCAUCCAUCUCAAAACAACAACAAUAAUCUAUCACAAACAAAAUCAGAGUUUGGAUUAUGGGUAGUGUGUCGAGUAUUUGAAGCAAAAGAGAAUAAUAAUAUUAUUGGAAGAAGUAUGUUUUGUUAUGAGGAAGAUGAUGAUGAUGAUAAUGAAAGUGAACUUUCUUAUUUGGAUGAGAUGUAUUUGAGUUUAGAUGAUAUUUGAAUUCCCAAUAUAUAAUCUUAAUUAUUGAACCUCUAAUUUAAUUUUAAUUUGUCCUUUCGAUUAUUA
Molecule: long non-coding RNA, 359 nt
Organism: Cucumis melo (muskmelon)
Lineage: Eukaryota; Viridiplantae; Streptophyta; Magnoliopsida; Cucurbitales; Cucurbitaceae
Exons: 2
Source: RefSeq, a predicted model, not a curated record